GGGCGGCUGGCCGGGCGCCCGCGCGGCGCCGCGCUCUGGCUGCGGCGCGCGGGGGCGGUCCUGCUCUGGGGGGUGGUGCAGGGCGCCUUCCUCGCCCC
RNAcentral lists this transfer RNA (98 nucleotides) under Gemmatimonadetes bacterium T265. Its description in RNAcentral is "tRNA-Gln". Lineage: Bacteria; Pseudomonadati; Gemmatimonadota. The record is from RNAcentral.